Long non-coding RNA from Drosophila novamexicana, 1654 nucleotides. RefSeq lists it as uncharacterized. NCBI's taxonomy places the organism in Eukaryota, Metazoa, Arthropoda, Insecta, Diptera, Drosophilidae. The transcript has 3 exons. The record is from RefSeq and is a predicted model, not a curated record.
CAAAAAAUUUCAUUUUGAAAAAUGCUAGAACUUCAAUAAAUUAUAUUGCUUGGCCUGAACGAAACCCAAGCGAAUCGUAAAAAAAUGGCUACGCUCGGGAUGACCUCAACAGGGCAGUGCGGGAGUAUUCGGGGUUAGGUUUUAUCUAAGUUGUUGCUCGACUUGCUGGCACCUUUACUAUCAUGACAACAAUACAAACGAGACAAAGGAGAUGGCAGCGGCGAAGGAGAAAUAACCGGGCAAAAUUCGUAGCAUAACACGGCGGACAGGUGAAUCGGGUCAGCGACGGAGGCAGCAGCAAACGGGGAAAAAAGGGAAGAAAAAAUGUAAGAAUGCUUUAGUCAAGUGUUUGAUUGGAAUAUACCCAGUACCAAGAUAUCUAAGCAACUUUAACAUAUCCAAAAAAAAAAAGUCCGUGAUCAUGCGAUAUCCGGAGUUGUCUAAUGAGAUCGAAUCGCCUGUUGAUAUAUAUAACACUUUAUGGCACAUGUCUCCAUUUAAUUGUCACCGUUGCAGAGCUUUACCAUAUCCUUUAGACAAUUUGAAUGUAUGCAGGGUAUGCAGAAAAAUGGAAAAAGCUGCUGUCAAAUGAACGUGCAAAAAAUUGUGCUGCUUUCAUGGAAUAAAAGGGGAUCAAUCGGGUGCGGGGAAUAUGAUGGCGAAUAAAUUUUUUCUCAACUUUGUUGCAACGUGACAUUUUUGCCUCGCCCCAUUUGGCGGUGACAACGGGAUGAGGAAAGCAAUUGCACCAGAUGAGAGAGCAGGGUGCAGGCUAGCAUUAUUAAAAUGACAUGCUUUCCCGAGCGUUUCACUUGAAUAUUGAUUGCGGCUCCUUUGAUGUGCUCAUUCUUGUUAAAAGAUGAAGCGCACACCUGACACAAAAGUCGCUAAUUAAGUCACGAUGGGCCGCAGAGUGCAGAUGUGUGGAAAACGCUUUUUCGAAGCUAAUCAGGCAAAAUCUUGCAAAAUUGUUUGGCCAAAUCUUGCGAAUUCAUGUACAAUUAGCCCGCAGCAUGAGGACUACAGCACAUUAGCCGGGCCAUAACAAAAAGUGGCUCUCAUAUGUUAGCCUGACUGUCCUAAAGGCGCGCAGCGGCAUUGUCGUAAUGUCUUCAGCACAAAAUGACAUUGACAAUGAACCGAAAUCAGUUAGACACAAGAAAAAACUGAAUUUUUUCAAUCUCCCUAGACAGCUUGGGAAAACCGAACGAGUUUGACGAAAUCAGAUACUUGGGCUCACUUGACAAGACGCGCGCGUCAACUUUUUUUGCCGCUGGCAAUGUAAAGAAAAGUGUGUUUCGUGUUUAUUUGAAAAAUCGCUAAAGGAUAACUAAAGCAUUCCCCCAAGGGCGUUUGGCGAGCACGCAAGUGAUUUGUAUGCGAAUUUACAUACGCAGCGUGGCCCAAACCAACUCGACCCACACCUAUUCAAAUAGAACUCCCUGGGUGUUUUCCAACUCGUUGAGCAGCUCCAAAAGUCGUCAUUGCUGGCUGGAUUCAAUGUGUUGCGCUUUGAAAUGAAUCAAUCGGCUUAAAAUGAAAACACCUUGCAAAGCCCAGAAGUGGCUUUCUGCGCACUCGUGGUCGCUUAGCAGUAAAUUGAAUUUAUUUUUGAGACACCAUUUUGGCUCAGUUUCCCAACCUCUGAUCAAAA